UACGGAAGGCAGCAGUGGGGAAUAUUGCACAAUGGGCGCAAGCCUGAUGCAGCCAUGCCGCGUGUAUGAAGAAGGCCUUCGGGUUGUAAAGUACUUUCAGUCGUGAGGAAGGUGUUAAGGUUAAUAACCUUAGCAAUUGACGUUAGCGACAGAAGAAGCACCGGCUAACUCCGUGCCAGCAGCCGCGGUAAUACGGAGGGUGCGAGCGUUAAUCGGAAUUACUGGGCGUAAAGGGCACGCAGGCGGUUAAUUAAGUUGGAUGUGAAAUCCCCGGGCUUAACCUGGGAAUGGCAUUCAAGACUGGUUAGCUAGAGUCUUGUAGAGGGGGUAGAAUUCCAUGUGUAGCGGUGAAAUGCGUAGAGAUGUGGAGGAAUACCGGUGGCGAAAGGCGGCCCCUGGACAAAGACUGACGCUCAUGUGCGAAAGCGUGGGGAGCAAAACAGGAUUAGAUACC
This 454-nucleotide ribosomal RNA is filed under the name uncultured bacterium. Its description in RNAcentral is "bacterial SSU rRNA". It matches the Rfam family "Bacterial small subunit ribosomal RNA", at positions 340 to 786 of the family's 1533-position model. The record is from RNAcentral.